CAGUCGCCGCGGUAAUACGUAGGUGGCAAGCGUUGUCCGGAAUUAUUGGGCGUAAAGGGCUCGCAGGCGGUUUCUUAAGUCUGAUGUGAAAGCCCCCGGCUCAACCGGGGAGGGUCAUUGGAAACUGGGAAACUUGAGUGCAGAAGAGGAGAGUGGAAUUCCACGCGUAGCGGUGAAAUGCGUAGAUAUAUGGAGGAACACCGGUGGCGAAAGCGGCUCUCUGGUCUGUAACUGACGCUGAGGCUCGAAAGCGUGGGGAGCGAACAGGAUUAGAUACCCCCGUAGUCCCUGUCUCUUAUAC
Molecule: ribosomal RNA, 301 nt
Filed under: uncultured bacterium
Lineage: Bacteria
Description: partial 16S ribosomal RNA
Rfam family: Bacterial small subunit ribosomal RNA
Source: RNAcentral